RNAcentral lists this ribosomal RNA (279 nucleotides) under uncultured bacterium. Its description in RNAcentral is "partial 16S ribosomal RNA". It matches the Rfam family "Bacterial small subunit ribosomal RNA", at positions 506 to 784 of the family's 1533-position model. The record is from RNAcentral.
UGCCAGCCGCCGCGGUAAGACGGAGGGCGCAAGCGUUGUUCGGAAUUACUGGGCGUAAAGCGCACGCAGGCGGUUUCUUAAGUCUUCUGUGAAAGCCCGGGGCUCAACUCCGGAACUGCAGAGGAUACUGGGAAACUGGAGACAGGUAGAGGCUAGCGGAAUUCCUGGUGUAGCGGUGGAAUGCGUAGAUAUCAGGAAGAACACCUGUGGCGAAGGCGGCUAGCUGGGCCUGUUCUGACGCUCAUGUGCGAAAGCGUGGGGAGCAAACAGGAUUAGAUA